CGGGGCGUGGUGUAACGGCAACAUGCCCGCUUUGGGAGCGGGUGACUCCCGGUUCAAAUCCGGGCGCCCCGA
This 72-nucleotide transfer RNA is filed under the name Candidatus Sungiibacteriota bacterium. RNAcentral's name for it is "tRNA-Pro". It matches the Rfam family "tRNA". From Rfam's summary of the family: Transfer RNA (tRNA) molecules are approximately 80 nucleotides in length. Their secondary structure includes four short double-helical elements and three loops (D, anti-codon, and T loops). Further hydrogen bonds mediate the characteristic L-shaped molecular structure. tRNAs have two regions of fundamental functional importance: the anti-codon, which is responsible for specific mRNA codon recognition, and the 3' end, to which the tRNAs corresponding amino acid is attached (by aminoacyl-tRNA synthetases). tRNAs cope with the degeneracy of the genetic code in two manners: having more than one tRNA (with a specific anti-codon) for a particular amino acid; and 'wobble' base-pairing, i.e. permitting non-standard base-pairing at the 3rd anti-codon position. The record is from RNAcentral. Lineage: Bacteria; Candidatus Sungiibacteriota.